AUGGGAACGCGAAGAACCUUACCUAGACUUGACAUCUCCUGAAUAGUGUAGAGAUACAUGAAGCCCUUCGGGGCAGGAAGACAGGUGGUGCAUGGUUGUCGUCAGCUCGUGUCGUGAGAUGUUGGGUUAAGUCCCGCAACGAGUGCAACCCUUAUUACUAGUUGCUACCAUUAAGUUGAGCACUCUAGUGAGACUGCCCGGGGUUAACCGGGAGGAAGGCGGGGAUGACGUCAAAUCAUCAUGCCCCUUAUGUCUAGGGCAACACACGUGCUACAAUGGUGAGUACAGAUAGAUGCGAUACCGCAAGGUGGAGCCAAACUCUAAAACUCAUCCCAGUUCGGAUUGUAGGCUGCAACUCGCCUACAUGAAGUUGGAGUUGCUAGUAAUCGCGAAUCAGAAUGUCGCGGUGAAUACGUUCCCGGGUCUUGUACACACCG
RNAcentral lists this ribosomal RNA (437 nucleotides) under uncultured bacterium. Its description in RNAcentral is "bacterial SSU rRNA". It matches the Rfam family "Bacterial small subunit ribosomal RNA", at positions 954 to 1392 of the family's 1533-position model. The record is from RNAcentral.